This 253-nucleotide ribosomal RNA is filed under the name uncultured bacterium. RNAcentral's name for it is "partial 16S ribosomal RNA". It matches the Rfam family "Bacterial small subunit ribosomal RNA", at positions 524 to 776 of the family's 1533-position model. The record is from RNAcentral.
UACGAAGGGGGCUAGCGUUGUUCGGAAUCACUGGGCGUAAAGGGUGCGUAGGCUGCGCGGAAAGUUGGGUGUGAAAUCCCUCGGCUCAACCGAGGAACUGCGCCCAAAACUACCGUGCUCGAGGAAGAUAGAGGUAAGCGGAACUUACGGUGGAGCGGUGAAAUGCGUUGAUAUCGUAAGGAACACCUGUGGCGAAAGCGGCUUACUGGGUCUUUUCUGACGCUGAUGCACGAAAGCUAGGGGAGCAAACGGG